Ribosomal RNA from Mesocricetus auratus (golden hamster), 106 nucleotides. NCBI's taxonomy places the organism in Eukaryota, Metazoa, Chordata, Mammalia, Rodentia, Cricetidae. The record is from Ensembl.
GUCUACGGCCAUACCACCCUGAACGUGCCCGAUCUCAUCUGAUCUCGGAAGCUAAGCAGGGCCUGGUUAGUACUUGGAUGGGAGAAAGUGUCAGGUGCCGUGGUCG